CAUCACUUGGUAUUGACAGUUCUGGUCAGCAGUGGGGCCCUUAUCAAACAUGGGGCAGCGUCUAGAUCCUUCUCACAGAAGCCACUCCUGCUACCCAAGCCUUGCCACGUAAACCCACUACACACCUUUUGCUUGAAUGUAUUAGGGUUUUUUGCAUAUUGUCUUUAUUAUUACAGAAGUUACACUUAUUUUUUUUCAAUGAGUUCUAGAUGCACUUAGAUUGCUAGAAGCUUCCCAAGAUGGUGCUGGUUUUCAGCUUAUUUGCUUUGUUACUGUUGAAGUUAUUUCUCCUGUGAGUUGGCACCUAUGAACCAAAUAUUGCGUUACACUUUCAGAACAACCCCAGCAGAAUGCAUGUUUCUUGUCUGUGCCUAACUUUCCUUCAUUUUUAGUAGAGAGGCUUUGGAUCUAAAUAGUAAAUCACUUUUUACCUGCUGAAGAAGCUUCAUAUCAAGUUCUACUAAACAGAAGUUCUACUUGGAGCUGAGAGGAUGGGGAGCGAAGUUCAAAGACUAUAUUACCCCAAAUAAGCGUGUUUAUUUCCAUACCAGGUUGUUUUGAAGAGUAGAUUGUAACCAUACCUCGUCCCACUGAAGCAAAUGCAUCAAAAAUUAAUAACUUUGAUGAUACACAAGUGAGCUGGCUUGAAAAAAGCUGUUUUCCCAUAGGAAGCUUUGCUUUCAUUUCCCAUACACUUCCCAACCCUUCUCCAUUUCAGGAUAAUAAUCAGAGGUUGACAAAUAUAUCCCCCAACGUUGUUUCCAGAUGCAAAACACCUCUUAGUGAGCGUCUGUGGAUAUACAGCCUGUGCUUAGGCAAACACUACAGACCACAAAAUCUUAACGAGUUUGAAAUGAAAGCAGCCUGUGUUAAUUGUUUUUUUUUCCUGAGCAUUUGCCUGCAGUCUGUUAGACUAACUCUGAACAGAGUAGUGUUACUUAACACUGGAUCAGUUAAAGACAGCUUAAUUCUAAAUGGAGUUUUCUUGAAAAGCUGCAACUACAACAACAAAAAAGACAAUCCUUUAACACAAAACAUUGAAAGAUUUUAAAGUGUUCUUUCAUGACUUGUUUUAUGUAUUUUAUACUACUCAGUCACAUUAGAUUUUUUUCUGCCUUUUUCCCCCACAACAUAAAUAUUUGUGCUUACUGUUAAAUUUGUUUUCAUCUAUUAAUUUUCUUGCAGAUGUAAUGCUUUAUUUAAUGUAUUGCACACUCACUGGAAGAGAUGUGUAUACCCAUGCUCACGUUACUAAAAAAAAAAAAUUCUUUUUUUAAAAAGUUCUUGACAAGGCUGUCCGCUUGCUUGAAUUGUACAGAAUUGUCUAAAAUCAAUUCUUGAGAACUAACAGAUACCAGGAAAAAAGGUCUCAAUUGUUCACCUGAAUUCAUUCUGAAAGUUUUGCUACACUGCUAUUAUGUCAGUGCACUAGCUCCAACUGUCACUGUUCAGAAACUAUUUUUAACUUUCAUUAAUUUUAAAAGCAGUUUUAAAAGGUUUUUCAGUCCCCAACAGUGUUUGUUUUGAGAUAUGCAUACAUGUAUGUGCCUCAGAAAGAAAGCAGUAACUUUAGUCCCAGAAGUGUAUGAGAGACCUUGGGAGUACAGGGACAUGAAGGUGCUCUGCAACAGAUGAGACAUUUGUAAAGUAUCUAUUUUGUUUUGCUUUUGCUGGCUUUAUUUUUCACUGUGAAGUACUUGAAUUUAAGAUUAUGAUGUGGGGAAGAGGUGGUAGAAGGGGGUAUAUGGAUAAAGAGGAUUUCUUAACUACUUUAACUGAAAGGGCGUAGAUUGUCUUCAUAUUUGUGAGACUGCUACUUCUAAAUAACAUUCAGAAUACUUAGUAAUACUUUCACACUUUUAAUCUUUUACAUCACUUACAACAAGGAAUAUUUGUCACUUUUUUUCCCCAAAGUAUUGUUGCUCCACUCUUACUGUGAACUGAUAAGAAUAAGACUGACAAGCCCAAAAGAAAGAUGGAUUUUCAGUAAGGCAAUAAUAAAAGUCCAAUUGAUUGUGCCUUUUCCAUGUCUUUUCCCCAGUUUACAGUAUUCAUGGAAUAAAUAUUAAUUCAAAGCACAGCUUCCACAACAGCUUUAUUUUCAAUGUGUAGGAAAUAAGGAGAUAAAGAUACUUGGAGAAGUCUAGAAACCCCCCCUUAAUGAGUAAUUCUGGAUCUAAUGAAGCAGACUGUCUUGUUCAACAGUAAUGUUGUAAAAAAUACUUGUAAGAAACUUGUAACAUUAUCAAUUUUCAAAAUCCUGAAUACAAAUCAAACAUUAUACACAAUUGGAAAGAAAUGCUUCUCUUGUCUUAAUUGAAACCUUUUAUUUGUUACCUGUAUUCUUUUUUUUUUUCUAUCUUCUGUAGUAAUAUUCCUAUUUGAUAUAGGUUUUAACAUCUGCAUGAAUACAUCCCACUUACAGAUUGAUGUCUAUCUUUUAGUGAUUCUUGGGAGGGGGAAACGAGGAGGUGAUGAGUCAGUGCUCAGGAAACCUCAAAAUUCUUCCCAGAGAACUGCAGCACUGGCACAGCUGCACAGCAUGAUCCUUGACCAUAAGCUAGCACAAGGAGACCUGAGAAGCAGUUGAUUUCUUGAUAUGCUUCUAAGGCUGCUAUGUGUAGAGAGUUGAUUGUUGUUCGCUUUCUCCCUCAAUAAUUUAUUGCUUUUGGAAAGUUAGUUUCCUGGAUAGAGCAUCACUUCAGAGAAGCAGUUCUGCCUGUGCUUAAAGCAGUACCUCUUGGGAUUUUGCACCAGAAACAAAUAUGAGAUAAGCUAUCUGAUAAAAGCGUAUUUGUAUCAAUCUAUCUAAUAGGUUAAGGUAGGAGUUCAAAAGUAGGGUUUCACUCAGCAUGCUUACAGCCUUUACUGGCAUCAGUCCAGAUUCAGAAGCAGCAAAGCUGCAACCUGGCCAGCAUGGAGGAAACUGGUUGCAUCAUGGGCAGGCAGCACUUUGAUCCUCACUGAGUUUAAAAUCCCAGGUGUGAGAGCAUUGUGGCCUUUCAAAGGAAGGGUCACAAGCAUGAAGCAAUAUGUGUGAGAAGUUGGGGCAGAAAGUGUUAAGUAUAAGCUACUAAAAGCUAAUUUUAACACUUAGAAGAAUUUGGAGUAGUGGUGAAUGCAGUGAGUGGGUGCACAAUGCAAUGCUGAAAUUCUGGCACAGCCAAUGUAGAGACUAACCUCUGAGUCGCUUCCGCAAGCUCAAGGGAUCAUGAGAUAUAUAAAGCAAGUUGGUCAUUCUUUAAAACGCGCACCACAUAAAGUGGGGCAGGCAGUCAAGGUCCUAAUACCUAAAACAUUUUGCCUUAAAAUUUCCAGAUUCAUGUUGCCUCAGACUUUGCUGUGCCACCAUGAACUAUAAUAGAGAUCUUGAUAGCAUUACUUGCAACAAGAGAAAAUUCUUACUUGUACUUGUGCAGCUGUAUGCUUUAAUGUGUAUGAGUGUUUUGGCCACACGAGGUAGGAACUCUUGGUUCUCUUUGCCUGUGCCCUCAUCACUCUUUUAUUUAUUUAUUUAUUUUUCAGUUUAUAGAGCCAGUGGAAUGAGAUAGACAGAGUGAGCCACUGUGAAUGCCGUUCCCCUGGUGCUGCUGGUGAGCCUUCUGUCCUGCCCUGUCAUGUGGCUGGUGGAGCAGGUAACCACUGAGCUGCUUCACUGCCAUGGUAUGUGUUUAGUGAGGAUUUUUAGUAUUCACCUCAUGAUCUAUCAGUCUACGUGAAUGUAGGAACACAAAUCCAUGCUUGAUCUCUUCCGAAGCCUGGCUGUAUCUCAGUCUUGUUCAGCAAAGGGGAUGUUUUUCAUUGUGCUUCUCAGACUUGGAAAAAGGGAUUUCCCACAUUCUGAAUGCUAGGGAGCACAGGGAAGCAUGCAGCCAAGACUUGAUUUUAUGUAAAUAAACUGACAUAAAGGAACUUUCCAGGAACUUGAUCCACAUUAAAAGAAAUUCUAAAGGAGAAGUAGGAAAACAAGAUACAAGCUGAACACAGAGGUGAGAGAAAUGCUGUGCAUUUUGCAUCGAUAGGCAGACAUAACCUACCUGAAGCUGGAAAACGCAGAUGUGGAAGUCUGAAUAGAGAUACCAGUGUGUUUCCAAAAUAACUCUGCAGGUAUUCUUGAAAUGUUGCUUAAGCAAAUAAAUGGUUCUAUUCUUGCCAAGUUGGUCCCAUUCUUAUUUACUUUUAGUCUGAAAGGAACAAAAAGGACAUUAUAAAGCUACAGCACCAUUCAAAUGUUGGGAAACAGAAGCUCUUUUUUUUGAAAAAAAAAAUUAUAUUGCAGAGGAAAGGGAAACUUUGCAGCCAUUAAGAUGUCAAAACUACUCCCUGCAUGGAGUAUUUUAUGACCAGAACCCUGAGGAGGCACUUGAGGAAUAUCGUCCAAAUACCACACCCUGAAGGCCUAUUUUUAUUUUUGUGUGGAUUUAGCAUUCUUUAAAAAUAAUUCUUAAAAAAGAUCAGGAAGUAGCUACAGACAUGCUUCCUGAAGGGUCCUCUCUUCAUGGACAACCAAAAAUAUGAGUUAGCAUAAAGCAUAGGUAUUUGACCAUGUGGCUGGACUUGCAGCCUUGUGAUCAUUUCUCAGCCAGGAAGCUCCCUGGGCAUGCUACUGCAUGUGGCACUGCUGCCUAAUGGGGCUCAGGUCUGGCAUUAAAACUCCAUGACAAGUCUAUUCUAGGCUAACAGUUUAAAGACAAAUAGAGAAAUCUGUUUUUGAAUAGAUUUUAAGCAAUAAUUUGAAUUUGCGAAUGCAGGUUGCUGAUACAAGUAUUAAUUUCAGCUGGAGUGAGCGUGUGUACAGCUUCAAAGUAUCCUUUACUUGGAAUUGUCUGUGAGUCGAUAAGUUAGCAAAAAAUUCAUACCCGAAGUGCUCAUCAAUUUCCUUCCUGCAAAGCAGGUGAUGUUGGUUUGUAUUGAGACUCUUUGGGUACAGGAGAUUUUGGAGAGGUCUGUGAGGCCUCACAUGGAGGGGAGGUGGUAGGUGGGGUAGUCCUUUAAUUGGAAGAGACAUUAAGCAAGGAGGCAUGACAUGAAAGUAGUGGGUCUGAAGCUUUUUUGCAUGACAUGUAUUUGAGCUGUGGAUGUUCACAGGUUGUCAGAGCAGACUGCCCAAGGUCAUGGGUGAGAGAGCCCCUGAGGGUUUUUAAGAAGACAUCCCCAAACUGCAGGUGCUUAAGGGCCCACCUAGAUAAAGACUUGCAUUUUUAUUCUGUUGUUACCUCUUGCCCAGGGACCUGCUUCUGACCAUUGCUGGAGACAGAGUCCUGUCCCACUGUGGCCAGUGCUUCUGUAACUUCAACUUCUGCACAAUAUCAUGAGGAAAUGGAGAAGCUGCUCUUCUUGUUCUGCUUGUCUUGGACAGCAGAGCCUUGGUCUCACACAGGUUUGUUGCCAGUAUUCUUUUUCUUCAGGUCUCAGUCCCGUCCCGUCCCGUCCCCCCCCCCCCCAAAAAAAAUAAUCCUUUAAUUCAUAACUUCUUUGCUGUAUUAAAAUUGCAUAAAGCUUUGUGGAUGGCAAAGUCCUCUUUCAACAGCACUUGUGAAACUGAUUUAUGCUUAGUAGGAAGGUGUUUUUAUUGUAGAGCUUCUGUACAAUUUGAGUGAACUUUCAGUAGAAAUCCUGGAGCUUUGAGUGGAUUUCCUGAAAAUAUUAAAUAAAGACCUCUCUUGGAUAUUGGCAGUGAAACUUAAGGUAGGAAAGAUGGAUCUAAAAUGCAAGAAAGGUUUGAAUAUGUAGCAGUGUUUGGAGUUAAGUUUAAAAAUUAAUUUACAGUUUAAAGAAGGUAGAGCCAAGAAAGUGUAACCUUAUAAAAAGCCUCUUCAUUAAUAAAAAAAAAAAAAAAAAAAAAGUAAAAAAUCAGAUAAGACAACCAAUCUGAUUUUUUUCACUGCAUUGGUGUGGGGCAGUCUACUACACUGUAUGUUUUUUAUGUAUUUUUUUACUUAAGAGAAGUAAGGAAGUUCAUGCAGUUCUUAAGCAAUACAAGCCCCUAGGUCUAUAGAAAUUAAUGUAUUAAUGCGAGAAGUGAUAAAUACAUAAAAUAUAUAGCCUGAGUGUGCAUAUAUAAGGAAAGUCCUGUUGACAAAGUAUAUCCAGUGCCCCUGAGGCUGGAGGUCUGCAGUAAGCAAAGCUCGUGUUUUGUGCUGGAGAUUCCAUUAGAGAGAAUUAUUUGAUUUCCUUACAUAAUGGGAGCUGAAUGCUAUAUGCAAAGGAGAACUGCAGCUUUCUGUUCAUGCAAAAGGAGUUGGUCUCAUAACGCUGAAAAUAUUUCACUUCACAAAAACUUUAGAGAAGCGUAUCUUUGUGUGUAUUAUAACUCAUACAUAGAUACCGGUACAGUGUAAUUACUUUUACUUUAUAAAGACGAGUUGAGUUUUAUCUUUCCUAUAUACAAAACUACUGCUUCUGCUGUUUUGUUUUUUGAUGUUUUUCUUCAAGAUGAAGUUUUUAUGUGCAGCAUGCUAUAUUGUAGCGCAACUCAUUUACUUUAAAGGCAAGCCAAGGGAGCUCUUCUAGACUGAAUGCCUUCCACAGAAUAAUUGCCUAUGAAAAAGUUUAUAGGAAACGUUACUGGAUUUUUAAUCUUUUCUCUUAAGUGUCCAAGAAGAGAUAAGAGGAGUGUUUAUUGCUAAACAUAAGAAUGUUUUCCUUUCAAUAAUGAAGUUUGCAGAUCCAAAAUAUCUACUGCAGAAAACUGGGUUGGUUUUCAUUUUUUUUUAUGGUGGAAGAAAUAAAACUUUUUUUUUUUUUUUUAGUGGAGCCAAGUGGUUGUAUUCAAAGUACAGUUUUAAGCCUUCAUGCAUAAGAAAUGAAUAUUAUUGCAGUUAAAAAAAAAAGUAUAAGGCAGUGGAACUGAGUAAGUGAGUGACCAACGUGGCAUAUCACGCUCUACUAUUAAGUAGAAAAAUAGCAUUUAGUGUCUUUUUUUCAUUCCAGUUGCUAAGUUCUAAGGAAUAGUGAAAAAGAUUGGUAUUGUCAGAGUUAAGCAGAUCCUCUGCUGUCUUUCAUUGUCUGCAGUAUAAGGCUGAUUGCCCAACAAACUUGUCUGCUCUCAUUUGCCAUGUUUUGUCAUCCAAAGCACCAAGAAUUAUUCAUAAGGCCAGUAAUAGAAACUCCUAGAGUUCCCCUCCCCAACUUGUUUACUUUUCUAUUUCCUUGUCAUCAGCUUCUAGAUGAGUUUGGUAUAUUAUUUUUUAAUUUCACUGUACUGAUUUCUGCGUGUGUUGCCUGGUAGAAUGUUUCAUGUUACAAGUGGAGCACUGAGACAUGGCAUUUCUCUGUACUUUCUGCCAAUGUCUUUCUUGAAGCCAGUAUUUUCCUAAAUGCCUGUGGUCCACUGGUAAAGCGAUUACAGAGAUGCCUGCAGUCCUUCCUGACCACUUUAUUAAACAUUUCACUUUUUCAAGAACCUGGAAACUGGUUGUAGAUACAGAGCUUCUUUCUGUGUUCCCACCUGGCUUUAGUUCAGCAUGUUGGUAGCUUCUGUAUAAAGUGAAUUCUGAUAAAGAGAAUAUUCAUCCUUUUCAGCCAGCUUUCCAACCUCCUAAGUUUUGAAUUAUGAAUAUUUUUCUUUGUACUAAAGUGUUGUGGGAAGGGAGAAAACACUCCAACAUCCAACCAGUAGCACUGGCAAUAUAAAUGGUACUUAAGUGUGAAGUAUGGUUUCUGCAUGGAAUGCUUUUCCAUACUCCAGUUCCUCUUUGUCUCCAUCCCUCCUUCAAUUCAGAAAAAAAUGUAGUCAAACCAAAUGCCAAAGAAAAACUUUCCUUAGCUUUUAAGACUGAAAAUAGCUUCAGGACUGUAGGAAGACUUGUAUAGGUACUAGAUGAACUGCUUUGCACUCUGUCAAGCCUGUACUUACCUCUCAGGAAAUUAUUUGAAGAACCAUUAUAACAGUUUGAACUGAACUGCUGCCUUCUACAAGCUAGAGUGCAUUAUGCUUUGACUAAACCAUAACACAAGAAACUCAAAGAAAGCAUUCUGUAACAUUUACUGAUACUCAGUGCUCAUUUUCUUUAGAGGUUAGGGCUAUUAAUUAGAGAAGGCUAUUCAUCUCAAAUUCACUAAACUUGAACCAAGAAUAACAGUAAGGAAGAAAAUGCUUCUAAUUUGUUAGUAAUUUUUGAGAAUUCCCACAACAUCAUGACCUUGAUUUAAUUAAUGACCUUAAUUUAAUUAACUUGGUGGUUACUUAAGGCUGUCUGCAAGAAUAAAAAAAUAUUAAUUUUAAUUUUCACACAAUAAAAAUAUCACUAUGUAUGAAAAAUAAAAUAAGGACAUCUGUUUUGGGCCCACACCUCCAAAUUGCUGCUUUUUUGCACAUCUGUUUUGUGUUGCACAUCUGACUUGUUUCUUCUUAAAAAUUACCUUUCUCAAUUUAUUUCCAUAGUAUAUCUGUUCUAUAAAUGGUCUUCCAUAAUUUUCUGGGGAAGUCAAAGUAUUUAACCUAGUUAAUAAAAGCAUGAGCAAACUGGGACAGUGGAACAAAAAAAAUGCUUUGCCUUAUGUACAUGCUUUUUCCCUGGUGAGAAGCCGAAGACAUAAUAGUGCCUUUAUACUGUCUGCCAUCCUGUGGCCAACACAGAAUUUUACAGAUGCUUACUAAAGAAAGGAAGGGAUCAUGACAUUAGAAAUAAAGGUAGACAUAAUAGUUUCAAAAAUACUUAAGCUUGAUAGUUAAGGUACAAUUUUAGAAUUCAAGUCUGGUAAUAUUCACCUAUGAACACUGUCCAUUUAGAUGCAUGUGCCUUAAGAAAAGAAAAAGAAAACCAUGAAAAAUGCCUGCAUAACCACGUUUUUAGGUAGUAGUUGCAAAGCAUAGUCUGAAAGAGGAUGAAGUAGUGUCCGCUCAUACAGCAGUACUUGUAUAGCCUUUCAUCUAAGUGCGUCAAAGUAUUUUGCAACUAGAUGGGAAAAUUGAAGCUCAGGAUAAAAUGAUUUGUUCAUCCUGUUUGGCACCAGCUCUGGGAAGAGGCUGCAGUGUCUCAGCUUGCAGCCUUGGCUCUGACCUCCAGCUGAGUGACUCAGUGGCCAGGCGAGCAUCCACAACACAUCCGUGCCUUCCCAGCAGCCCCUCUCCAGCCUGGGAUGACGGGAGGGGGCUGGUGGGAUGGGACAUGCUUCAAAUACCAGACACAGCUCUCAGCCAGCUCAAUGCACAAAGCAGAAAGCAAGAGAAACUUUCCCAACAUGCUGAUGUCUAGUGCGGGAUCUCUUCCCCGGACCAGCUCUGCGUCUUUCUAAAAAUGUUUCCUGGUAAGAAACCAAAAUCUCUGGACCAUUGGAGCCAAGAGCAAGGCCAGACAACGCAAUGCUGUGUGAGCAUCUCUUCCCUUUCCUCAUCUUAUAUGUGGGGAACACUCCAAAUCCAUGGCACCAAAUCUCUACUGCACCUGGCGUUAAUGCAUUCGUUUGGCACUCAGAUGAACUGUUAGUACUUCUGACUUACACCUUUGUUUGAAUAAUAAUAAUAUAAGGACUUAAUAUAGUUAAUAUACAACAGAUAAAAUAAAUUGUCUAUUAUUUUCCUAGAUGUUGGUUGGAUUUACCUUUUCAGAUGGCAUAUGUGCCAAAAGAAAAAAAAAAAAAAGUUAAAUGGAAACUUGCUACAUUUCAGUGAGUAAACUAACUGGUUAUGUGGUGUGUAGGCUACAGGGGAAAAGACAAAAUGGAGAAAUUAUUUACAUCAACCUUAAAACUGACUCAUUCCAUCAAGCCAUAAAAGGAAAUAUCACCAACACAAAUGCCAGAAUAGUCGGUGUGUUUGGAUCCAGAUCUCCUCGGCCUAGCUUCCUAAGAAUCCAAGCUCAUGGACCUGCCUGACUUUAGUUCCAAUCCAAUACCCAGUGGCUUAAAAGCAGAAUCCUGUCUGGAGAACACUUCUGCUGGGUGUUGUGUGACUGUCCCAAAGACUGCCCCACACUGGAGGAGUCUAAAACCCUACAGAGGCUUCCCUGCUCAGCCUAAUGCUCCCCUUGGCUUUGCAAGAGCCUUGUGCGUGUUGCCACCGGCACUACAGUCAGCAGGCACUGCACAUCAAGCUCCAGCAUGGGGCUAGUUGUCCACAACUUGGCUCCUCCGCCUGACUGGAAGCAUUGCUGUCACAGCUCAAGUAGUUGUUUCCUGUCUAAAUAAAUUUUUACACAAUCGGGGCCUCGGGUUCCAGUUUUUACAGCAGCAGAAGUUACGUACUCAAGGGCUGAAGAAAGAGUAAUCAAAUUUGUCAUGUUUUCACUCUUCUGCUUAGCCAGAGUGGGGAUGAGAAUCCAAGCAAAACAAUUGGCAGCCUCAAGGGACCUUUAGAUUUGGCUCUGAGCACUCCAUAAGCGUCCAUUUUGCCAGCAUGCCUGAGCUGGAAAUAGCAAACCUGGACAUGACAGCUGAGGAAAAUAAGAGCAGGUUAGGAAGCACUAAUGACUGACUGCAGUUCAUUUUUAAACAGCCCCCAUACCUGAGAGAACCAAGUAAUGAGGUUUGGCUAGAGUAACAUCAACAUACGUAGGGCUUUAAUUCCUCCUCAGGUAGUGGGGGCUCCCAGGAAGGCAGCGUGACAUGGGGCAGGCUGUGUGGGCACACACCACUCAAGUCCUGCCCCUUAUGUCAGGAUGACAUCCAAGUGUCUUUGUGCCAUGUCUGAAGAGACAGUGACCGUAAUGGGCACGGGGAGGACAGCUAACUACCGAAUGCCUCAGGAAGGCACCACUUUUGCCAGGGAGGCAGGGCCUCCCUCAGCAGCACGGCAUGGAUCCAGAACCUGAGCUCAAGUCCUGAGGUAAUGUUUCAACAGUCAGCUUUUCUAAUGAGAUCCAGGGGGCAUCGUGCCUCUUGCCAGCUCUUCAUUAGUGAGCUGACUGUGCUGCAAAUACACAAAGCCCAUCAACUCUGUACAGUCAGCAAUUGCUGCUGGGCCUGCUGCUGAUUUACAGAGAUCAGCUGUUCUGGGUUAGGCAUCCACAUAUGGGAGUUUGUAAGGAACUUCCUUGAAGUAAGCCCUAAAGUAAGUUACAUGUCUAUUGGAGAAUGUUUAAAAAUAAAACCAUAUGAAGAAGCAUGCAAAAAUGAGGGCUGGAAUUGGAAAGCCAGCUCUGUUUCUGUUUUGCCAUAUCUCACUGUGAGCAUCUGUAGGAAGAAGUGUCUACUAAAAGCGAGUUACUGUUUCAAGGGUGAAAAAAAUGGAUGUUAUUCCAAAAUUUGCAUAAAUAUUUUUAUUAAUAUUUACUAUUAUUUUUAUUAUUUUCUAUAGUUUGAAUUCUUGGCUUUUACUCUUCUAGGAAAAAGGCCAUGUUCAUCAAGGAUCAAUUCAAUCAGUUUGAUACAACUGAGCACUAUGAAUUGCAUGCUGUAUUACAUCCCUUUAUACCUCCUCUCCUUACACUAUUUUUGCUAAACUUAUCCUGGUAUUAAAGGUGAUGAUCCAGUGAAGAUCCAUCAGUCAGUAAUCCACACUCUGCUGUUUUGUUGUUCUGCUGUUUUGUUGUUUCUCCUUUUUUUUUUUUUUUUUUUUUUUUAAUGGAAGUCCUACUUUUGUAUUUCCUCUGCUAUGAGGCAUCCCACGUUUGAUACUGUGCCAGUUCCAUGGGUAUUUUUAGAUGGAGAUUCCUUGUGUGAACACAUAAAUUUCAGUCCUGGAUAAACCUUCAAUGUGGUGUAAUUUUGAUUUCUAUAGUCUCAGUUCUUUAACCAACCACAUUUUUUUCCCCUUAUGCUACUUUAUCAUCUGCACUGAAAAUGUAGGCGUUUCAUUUCAUACUAGGGCAUAAAUUCAUUAAAAUGUAUAUCAUCUGU
This is a non-coding RNA of Anas platyrhynchos (mallard), 11781 nucleotides long. Lineage: Eukaryota; Metazoa; Chordata; Aves; Anseriformes; Anatidae. The record is from RefSeq and is a predicted model, not a curated record.